CGGACGGGUGAGUAAUGCUUAGGAAUCUGGCUUAUGGAGGGGGAUAACGACGGGAAACUGUCGCUAAUACCGCGUAGAAUCGAGAGAUGAAAGUGCGGGACCGCAAGGCCGCAUGCCAUAGGAUGAGCCCAAGUGGGAUUAGGUAGUUGGUGGGGUAAAGGCCUACCAAGCCGACGAUCUCUAGCUGGUCUGAGAGGAUGACCAGCCACACCGGGACUGAGACACGGCCCGG
This 232-nucleotide ribosomal RNA is filed under the name uncultured bacterium. RNAcentral's name for it is "partial 16S ribosomal RNA". It matches the Rfam family "Bacterial small subunit ribosomal RNA", at positions 99 to 334 of the family's 1533-position model. The record is from RNAcentral.